GGUUGAGAGAGCUUAGGCCGAUGUUAAAUAAGAGUUGCUCCUUCAGGAGGUCAGAGAGGAGAGGAGCUGGAUAAGCCUUAAGUUUAUUGGAGGCUUCAAGAUCGUCCCUUCCCAGGCUAGAAGCCCGACGGACGAAGUCCCUCAGGGAGCCCCAAGGGGGCAACCCCAGCUCCGAGGUUGGGUAUCGGAUGUAGAAGUACUUCUCCUUCCAGUUGUGG
This 218-nucleotide long non-coding RNA is filed under the name Elaeis guineensis (African oil palm). RNAcentral describes it as "long non-coding RNA (EGUI_LNC065628)". The record is from RNAcentral. Lineage: Eukaryota; Viridiplantae; Streptophyta; Magnoliopsida; Arecales; Arecaceae.